RNAcentral lists this transfer RNA (83 nucleotides) under Pseudotsuga macrocarpa. RNAcentral describes it as "tRNA-Ser". It matches the Rfam family "tRNA", at positions 27 to 71 of the family's 71-position model. From Rfam's summary of the family: Transfer RNA (tRNA) molecules are approximately 80 nucleotides in length. Their secondary structure includes four short double-helical elements and three loops (D, anti-codon, and T loops). The record is from RNAcentral. Lineage: Eukaryota; Viridiplantae; Streptophyta; Pinopsida; Pinales; Pinaceae.
CGGACUUGAAAUCCGUUGGCAAKGGAACGGACUUGAAAUCCGUUGGCAAUAUGCCUACGCUGGUUCAAAUCCAGCUGGACCCA